AAUAAGUGCAGUUUUACACUAUUUAUGUCUCACAUUUGACCGUUCGUCUUAUUUAAAAUUUUUUUUACGAUUAAUAUUUUUAUUGUUAUUAGAUGAUAAAACAUGAAUAAUACUUUAUGUGUGACUAACUUAUUUUAAUUUUCUCAUAAUUUUUUUAAAUAAGACGGAUGGUCAAACGUUAGACACGGAUUUUCACGGCUACACUUAUU
Molecule: non-coding RNA, 209 nt
Organism: Oryza glaberrima (African rice)
Lineage: Eukaryota; Viridiplantae; Streptophyta; Magnoliopsida; Poales; Poaceae
Source: Rfam